RNAcentral lists this transfer RNA (62 nucleotides) under Karaftohelix adamsi. Its description in RNAcentral is "tRNA-Leu". Lineage: Eukaryota; Metazoa; Mollusca; Gastropoda; Stylommatophora; Camaenidae. The record is from RNAcentral.
AUUAUAGUGGCAGAGGAUAUGCGUAGGUUUUAAGCGCCUAAGAUAAGUUUACUUCUAUUUCC